RNAcentral lists this transfer RNA (82 nucleotides) under bacterium. RNAcentral describes it as "tRNA-Leu". It matches the Rfam family "tRNA". Rfam says of the family: Transfer RNA (tRNA) molecules are approximately 80 nucleotides in length. The record is from RNAcentral.
GGGCACGUGGUGGAAUUGGUAUACACGUACGUUUCAGAAGCGUAUUCCGCAAGGAUUGGGAGUUCAAGUCUCCCCGUGCCCA